This 629-nucleotide long non-coding RNA is filed under the name Musa acuminata (dwarf banana). RNAcentral's name for it is "long non-coding RNA (MACU_LNC006076)". The record is from RNAcentral. Lineage: Eukaryota; Viridiplantae; Streptophyta; Magnoliopsida; Zingiberales; Musaceae.
CGGUGUGCAAUCCUUGGCAUAUUUGCUUCACGAAAGCAAAAGAUCGUGUCGGAUCCAACACACGGUACACCGACUUUACGCCACUCAAACCUUUCGUCGCGAUACGAAACGAUGCUCCCGUCCGUAUAAAAAUACGAGGCCCCGACACGAGCGUCCCAUUCAGUCAAAUCUGCAAACAGCUUGCGGCCACCAGCCACCAUGUCUUCUAUGCCUUGCUUUCCAAGUUAGAUUCCCCACGGGCAAAAGCAAUCCCACCAACGGCCUACUUUUUGUUGCGAGGUCCCAAUCGGCAGGCACAGACGCCCAUAACCUGUUCGAUAAGUUGACUCAGAGUUGCAGUAACCCAGAUAAGCACUACCUGGAAUCCUUCUCGCUCUUCACAUCCAUCCUGAAAUCUGGAGCGGCAUCUUCGAUUCGCAUUCGCAAACAAUCGUUGAUUCCUGUACCCAUGAGGACCGCGAGGCGGACAAGUGGAACCAUCAUGUGCUGCACGAGUCCUGUUUGACGAAAUGCGUGGCCCCUAAGAUGGCCGGAAAUGAUGGAUUGUCCGUUCGGGCAUUUUGGCUGCCGCUUGUGAGGAGCAGAAUAAAACAAAGGUCGUGCACCCGUCGGGCCUACCCAGGCUGUCA